Molecule: ribosomal RNA, 245 nt
Filed under: uncultured bacterium
Lineage: Bacteria
Description: partial 16S ribosomal RNA
Rfam family: Bacterial small subunit ribosomal RNA
Source: RNAcentral
UACAGAGGGGGCAAGCGUUAUUCGGAAUUAUUGGGCGUAAAGGGCGUGUAGGCGGUUUCCUAAGUGGGAUGUGCAGUCCCCGGGCUUAACCUGGGAACUGCAUCCCAGAUUGGGGAGCUGGAGUGCUGGAGAGGGUGGUGGAAUUCCACGUGUAGCGGUGAAAUGCGUAGAGAUGUGGAGGAACACCAGUGGCGAAGGCGGCCACCUGGACAGUAACUGACGCUGAGGCGCGAAAGUGUGGGUAG